AAAUUAAGUUGUAGAUUCUGAAGAUUAACGCGUCAGAUUUAGAGAUAAUCUCAGAAAAAUAUAAACUGUUGAUCUAGCUAUGUUUAGGAUUGUUAACACACCGUUCUAGAACUCAAAUCACUAAUAUAGAGCAACUGAUCGAUGUUAGCCCGCAUUACUCACUAUACCUAAUAAUUAAGGAUUCCGACGUUAGCCCGCAAAUCCCUAAUUCUAAACAUGCAUUACUAUUAGGUUUGAUUAGUUCACCUAAGUAUCUAGACCGACGUUAGUACACAUCUUAAAUACUAGGCUCAUCUAUAACAGUUCUAGCAAUAAGCAGCCUUUUAGAAUUUACCUAUUACCUAAGAUCAAGUUCUAGGUGAUCAAUCUAGAACUAGUAGUAAUAAUAAUUAAGAUGAAGAACUCAAAAAAUAAUCCUAACAGGUUAUCGAUCUACUAAUCCAUCUAAAUCCCUAUUGAUACCCUAAACCCAACAAGGUGACUACUCAGUCAUGAUUAAAGGAGCACAAAUCAUAAUCUGAAUAAAUUGCAUUGAAUUAUGAUAAAAGAUAGAGAUAAAGGAGUUCAGUUGCUUCUCUCCCAAAGUAUAAAUCUCUCACACAGAACUUGCUUAGGUCUAAACAAUGAUCUUAAAUAU
RNAcentral lists this small RNA (637 nucleotides) under Arabidopsis thaliana (thale cress). Its description in RNAcentral is "ATSL168280". The record is from RNAcentral. Lineage: Eukaryota; Viridiplantae; Streptophyta; Magnoliopsida; Brassicales; Brassicaceae.